RNAcentral lists this ribosomal RNA (294 nucleotides) under uncultured bacterium. RNAcentral's name for it is "partial 16S ribosomal RNA". It matches the Rfam family "Bacterial small subunit ribosomal RNA", at positions 773 to 1060 of the family's 1533-position model. The record is from RNAcentral.
GUGGAUUAGAUACCCUGGUAGUCCACGCCCUAAACUGUGGAAACUAGGUACAGGGAGUAUCGACCCUUCCUGCGCCGUAGCUAACGCGUUAAGUUUCCCGCCUGGGGACUACGGUCGCAAGACUAAAACUCAAAGGAAUUGACGGGGGCCCGCACAAGCAGCGGAGCGUGUGGUUUAAUUCGAUGCAACACGAAGAACCUUACCAAGGCUUGACAUGCUGGAAGUAGCGAACCGAAAGGGGAGCCAACUGUUAAGUCAGUAGCCUCCACAGGUGCUGCACGGCUGUCGUCAACU